Molecule: small nuclear RNA, 108 nt
Filed under: Myotis davidii
Lineage: Eukaryota; Metazoa; Chordata; Mammalia; Chiroptera; Vespertilionidae
Source: RNAcentral
GUGCUCACUUCAGCAGCACAUAUACUGAAAAUAGUAAUGAUACAGAGAAGAUUCGCAUGGCUCCCGCACAAGGAUGCCAUGCAAAUAAAAAUAAAAAAAAAAAUAAAA